Molecule: ribosomal RNA, 492 nt
Filed under: uncultured bacterium
Lineage: Bacteria
Description: partial 16S ribosomal RNA
Rfam family: Bacterial small subunit ribosomal RNA
Source: RNAcentral
AUUUCCCUCUUUCUUUAGGCCUAACACAUGCAAGUCGAACGGCAGCACAGUAAGAGCUUGCUCUUACGGGUGGCGAGUGGCGGACGGGUGAGGAAUACAUCGGAAUCUACUUUUUCGUGGGGGAUAACGUAGGGAAACUUACGCUAAUACCGCAUACGACCUACGGGUGAAAGCAGGGGAUCUUCGGACCUUGCGCGAUUGAAUGAGCCGAUGUCGGAUUAGCUAGUUGGCGGGGUAAAGGCCCACCAAGGCGACGAUCCGUAGCUGGUCUGAGAGGAUGAUCAGCCACACUGGAACUGAGACACGGUCCAGACUCCUACGGGAGGCAGCAGUGGGGAAUAUUGGACAAUGGGCGCAAGCCUGAUCCAGCCAUACCGCGUGGGUGAAGAAGGCCUUCGGGUUGUAAAGCCCUUUUGUUGGGAAAGAAAAGCAGCAGGUUAAUACCCCGCUGCUCUGACGGUACCCAAAGAAUAAGCACCGGCUAACUUCGUG